Molecule: non-coding RNA, 28 nt
Filed under: Mus musculus (house mouse)
Lineage: Eukaryota; Metazoa; Chordata; Mammalia; Rodentia; Muridae
Source: RNAcentral
UGGGAAUUGAACCUGGUCCUCUGGAAGA